Long non-coding RNA from Etheostoma cragini (Arkansas darter), 186 nucleotides. RefSeq lists it as uncharacterized. Lineage: Eukaryota; Metazoa; Chordata; Actinopteri; Perciformes; Percidae. The record is from RefSeq and is a predicted model, not a curated record. The transcript has 3 exons.
AAACAAUCUUUCUGCUGCUUGAUUACCGUUUGGCUGCAUGUUUUACUACCUGCAGUUUGUUAUCUGCAAAAUGUUUCUCUCUCAGUUGUCUUUAGGAGCAGCAUAUAGUUGUCAUGAGCCUAGAGCGCCCUCUCACGGCUGGAGACGGUAAUGUUUUCAGUAUGAAUUAAUAUUUAAAAACAUGUU